UGUCCAGUAGCAUUUUAGAGACCAACAAAGUUUGUUCUUGGUAUAAGCCUUCAUGGAAGAAGUGUGCAUGUGCAUGAAAGCUUAUACCAAGAACAAACUUAGUUGGUCUCUAAGGUGCUGCUGGACU
Molecule: non-coding RNA, 127 nt
Organism: Podarcis lilfordi (Lilford's wall lizard)
Lineage: Eukaryota; Metazoa; Chordata; Lepidosauria; Squamata; Lacertidae
Source: the annotation of a GenBank genome assembly